GAGGACCAGGCUCACUCUGUUUUCCAAAAAAGGUUCUUCUUCAGUAGGGUCUUGCCAGGCUUGUUGGCUCACAGGCUCCCUGUGGCUUCCCUUCAUCCCCUUCAGCCUGUUCCAAACUGAGCAGCUGGGGACUUCUGUCCAAGGGUCAUAUUUCCCACACUGUUUCUCUUGAACUGACCACACCGAAUUUUGUUCCCUAUGUGGUAUGUGGGUGGAGAGGGACACAGUGGCAUUUGACAGAGCAAGUAUCAUAACCACCUCUCUAUGCAAAAUAGUAGCUGCUGUUUAUUGUGGAACUUCUAAGUGCAGGAGACACGCACAGAAGACUGUUCCCAUUUUAUAGAUAAGGUAACUGAGGCUCUUGAGGCUUAGUAACUGCCCCGGGGUUCCCACAGAGAGAGCAGAGAGUGGCAGAGAGGUUGAGAAUGCCUGCACACAGUAAGCCUGCCCAUUGGCAGCUUAGCUGAUAGCAUCCUGCCUCCUAGUGGUCAGGGUGCCUGUUCAACUCACUAUGGGGUAGGGAGGGCCUCUCCCCUCUCCUGACAUCCCAAGGGCCUAACAGCUGAUUAUUUCAAGAAGUGGCCUCAGACUCUCUGGAAUACUGGGGCCUGGGAGCAAGGGGAAGCAGCUGGCUCCCAUUCUCAGACCUUGUCACCUCUCACCCUUGGAGUGGCCAUGACAGCCUGGGGCACACAACCUUCUCGGUGCUGAUCAGAUGGAACACAGCGCUCAGUGACUGCUGUCUAGUCAGGGGUGCAUAUGGCCCCCACCCUGUAGCCCCUCCUCCCCGAGGUGGUGACUCCCACCCUGUAGCCCCUCCUCCCCGAGGUGGUGACUGACAGUAUUCUUUGUCAUUCAGCCCUACAGAUGCAGCAUGGAAACUUUCUGUACCUGGGAAAGUGGCCCUGGGGACAAGACAAAUACACACCAAAAUGGAUGCCCGGACCCAUUGCGCUUCCAGUCCUAGUCACCUGGCACCCUUCUUCUGCGAGUGCACGAAGCCCACACCAAUUAGCUAAACAACGGUUUGUCUUGCCCUUGCC
Long non-coding RNA from Mus musculus (house mouse), 1043 nucleotides. RefSeq annotates it as predicted gene, 35537. The record is from RefSeq and is a predicted model, not a curated record. The transcript has 2 exons. Lineage: Eukaryota; Metazoa; Chordata; Mammalia; Rodentia; Muridae.